This 245-nucleotide ribosomal RNA is filed under the name uncultured bacterium. RNAcentral describes it as "partial 16S ribosomal RNA". It matches the Rfam family "Bacterial small subunit ribosomal RNA", at positions 107 to 339 of the family's 1533-position model. The record is from RNAcentral.
UGCGUAACACGUGAACAAUCUACCUUUUAGUGUGGAAUAGCUCGCCGAAAGGCGAAUUAAUACCGCAUGUGAUUGAGUCUCUCAUGAGAUUUAUAUUAAAGUCGGGGACCGCAAGGCCUGACGCUAGAAGAGGAGUUCGCGGCCUAUCAGCUAGUUGGCGAGGUAACGGCUCACCAAGGCUAAGACGGGUAGCUGGUCUGAGAGGAUGACCAGUCACACUGGAACUGAGACACGGUCCAGACACC